GUGUCACUUUUGCUCGGACUACCGUUGGCAGGUCAUGCCGUAGGUCCGUUGGACGCACCGGCUGGUUGGGAGCGAGCUCUUACAGAAUGUUUUCACGGUGUUUUUUCGGAUGCUCCCGAUCCGGUAUGGGAGCAUCACGGACCUAAGUAUGAGUGGUUGCUAAAUUUCCGGAUCCAGAACUUCCGGGCGCCCUUGACUGCGGAACAGAUCACUCGGAGCCUCGAGGCCUACUUACUGUGGCUUUUCGGCAAGGUGAUGUUCACGGAGAACCAUGUCACCACUAUUAGCGCCCUCUACAUCCCUAUGGCACUCGAGAUAGCGAGCGCUCAGACGGCGGAUCAGAUCAGACAGAGGAGUUGGGGUUCGGCGCUGUUAGCGGCAACAUACCGAGGUAUGUGCAACGGUUGCCAGCUUACAUCGAGAAAGCUAGCCCUUCUUGGAUGCCCUCUAUUCCUACAGCUG
RNAcentral lists this ribosomal RNA (462 nucleotides) under Triticum aestivum (bread wheat). RNAcentral describes it as "partial small subunit ribosomal RNA". Lineage: Eukaryota; Viridiplantae; Streptophyta; Magnoliopsida; Poales; Poaceae. The record is from RNAcentral.